RNAcentral lists this long non-coding RNA (4568 nucleotides) under Nicotiana benthamiana. Its description in RNAcentral is "long non-coding RNA (NBEN_LNC007501)". The record is from RNAcentral. Lineage: Eukaryota; Viridiplantae; Streptophyta; Magnoliopsida; Solanales; Solanaceae.
CAGGAAGGAAGCUAGUAGCAGGGAGUGCCAUAGGAGGGAUGAAGGAGACACAAGAGAUGGUAGAUUUCGCGGCAAAGCAUAACAUUACACCAGAUGUUGAAGUCGUGCCAAUGGACUAUGUGAAUACAGCUAUGGAGCGUCUCGCGGAAUCGGAUGUCAAGUACCGUUUUGUGCUUGACAUUGGGAAUACAUUGAACAAGAGUUAAGACAUUGGACUUGUCUCAUAUCUCUGUAUUUUGGGGCAAGAAAACAAGAAUUUGGCCGACUAUGUGUAGUGUUUGAUAGUCUUUUAAGAGCCGGAUUGCAUACUGUAUUUUGCCAUAUAUAUAGGCUUCUGGAAGAAAGGAGUCAGAAGUUUUGACUCUCAAGAUUCUUUUGAGCCACAUAAAUCUGCAGAAUCUAUAGAUCUAGAGAAAAUUAAAAAAUUAACUAAGAAAUACUCAUAGGAGCCAAUUUAGACCGUCUUUUGAAAUCGGAUGUUAAGUACCGUUUUGUACUUGACGUUGGCAAUACAUUGAACAAGAAUUAGCAGUGGGACUUGGGCAAGAAAAUGAGAAUUGGAUCUACCAUGUGUGCUUCUUAGCCUAUUGAAAAUCGGAUUGCAUUUUGCUCUAGGCUUAUGAUCUUGUUUUAGCUUGCACCUAUUGGUGUUUAUUUCUUGCUAUGUUUUAUGUAUUAAAGGAAGGAUUCAGAGAAUAAAUACAUGUUUUUUCUAGCUUUGUCAUGAAAAAACUCGUCUCGAUCGAUCUUGACAUAGGUGCAUUUGAUCAUGUGGAAAUAAUAUUAUUUAGAGAUGGUCCUCCUAGUCAAAAUGUGCGGAUAAUCUGGUUAAUAUUCUUCCUUUCAGGAUGUCUGUUUUUGGCCAUUUGGGUAACCAAAUUGUUUCGGAAAUGUUUCUUUACUUCUUCCCAUGGUCUUAAGCAGAGAAUGCUUUUUCCCAUUCUUUGUUCAUCAUUGGUACUGAAGUAUUAUCCAUAUCAGUUGUCUGAGCAUGAAUUUACACCAUUUAGUAUGAAUAAUAGAGGACCCAACAUCAACCACUUAGCUUAUGCAGAUGACAUUGUCAUUAUUUUCUAUAGAGGAAACAAUCAUUCUAUCGACCUUAUUGAGAAAUAUAUCAAGAGGUAUGAAAGGGCUUCUGGGCAAAAAGUCAACAACGAUAAGAGUUACUUCAUUACUUCCCCUAAUACCUCUGCCUUCAGGAUCAAUAGAAUUAGACAAGCAUCUAGAUUCAUGGAUAAAGAAUUUUCUUUCACAUAUCUUGGCUGCCCUAUCUACUAUGGGAGGAAGAACGCUAGCGUAUUUGAUGGCAUGUUAGCUAAAAUUAUCGAAAGGCUCAACGGAUGGCAGUGCAAGAUUCUAUCUCUAGGUGCGAGAAUCACUCUUAUCAAGCAUGUUCUACAGUCUCUUCCCAUAUAUAUUCUUUCGUCUAUGAACUAUACUUCCCACCCCCCCGCAAAAGCUAUUGUUAACCUUAUGGAAAAAUACUCUGAUAAUUUUUUAUAGGAAUCUACUGAUGUACUUUCAAGGUUUUGCACAUCUCAAGUACAAAGAGGAGGGAAAACAAAAGCACCCCGCUAAAUUUUUUCACAAAACUAGCGAAAGUAUUAUUCAAACUCACAGUAGAAGAAUGUAAGAUGAAAAUAAUCUUACCCACUCGUUUUUCAAUCCCGCAAGAUUGUAAGAAGCGUUGGAUAAAGAAAAAAGAAUAAAAUAAAAAAUCAAUCACGUUUUUGAAGCUAAUGCUCAAAGAAACUAAUUAACCAUGUUUAUUUUCAGCAUAUUAAGCCCUUUAAAUAGGCCUUACAAUGAGUAAAAUUAGUAAGGUUAAGAAAAACUAAUCAUGAUUAAACUAGAAUAAGAAUAAGGCUAAGAAACCCUAUCCUAACUAUUUAGGAAAAAUAAUUCUAGUAGGAAUGAGAUAUCAACUAACAAUUCUUGUUUGACUAGAACUACUAGGGUCAGAUCUACCUUAUUAAGUAGGGGUGCCACGCCACUCACUCGCUUCACUGAAUUUUUAACUAUUUAUAUAAGAUAUCUAUGAAAAACCGAUAUAUAAAUCUAGUGGCAACUGAACUAGACAAAGAAUACGCGGGUGCGUGUGGUUUAGCGUCUCUUCUAAAGACUAUUGUUGGCCUCAUGAAUGCGAGUUCAUUUCCCCGUAUGAGCAUUAUCUUUUAUUUACUUUUUUUGGGUUUUGUCAGUUGGGCCCUAGGGCCUUACCCUUUUUUCUUUUUUGGACGUCGUUUUCCCUUCUUUAUUUCUUCCUUUAAUGUGACGAUCCGGCCGGUCAUCUUAACAAUUAACGCCUCGAUCCCCUAUUAAUUAUUUUCCCAAGUCUAUUACUCCUAAUUUGCAUUGUCGGGAUGUUCGGUUUUGAGUUUCGGAGAGUUUUGGGAUACUUAGUCCCUAAAUGACAGCAUAAGUGUUGAAAAGUUGCUCGUAGUCAGAAUAGUGUGAAGCCAGACUCGGAAUAGAAAUCUGAUGGUUCUGUUAGCUCCGUUAGGUGAUUUUGGGGUUAGGAAUAUGUUAGGAAUAUAUUUUAGAGGUCCGUAGCUAAUUUAGGUUUGAAAUGCCAAAGUUUGAAUUUUUGAAAUUUCUGAUCCAGUAGUGAGAUUUUAAUUUGAGGGUCGGAAUGGAAUUUCAGAAGUUGUAAUAGUUCCAUCAUGCCAUUUGGGAUGCGUGUGAAAAUUUUCAGGUCAUUCGGACGUGGUUUGGUUAGGUUUUUUUAUCAAAAGCGUAUUUUGAGAGAAUUUAAAGUUCUUAGGCUUAAAUCCUUGGUUAAUUCGAGUUUCCGACAUUGUUUUAGGUGAUUUAAGGAUUGGUACGAGUUUGAAUGAUAUAAUGGGAUAUGUCCAUAAGUUUGGUUGAGAUCCCGGGUGCCUCGGGUGUGGUUCGGAUACUCAACGGGGCAUUUUAGAGUUUUUCAAAAUUGCAGAUUUUUGCUUAAGCUAUUGCAGACCAUUUUCCCUCUUCGCGUUCGCAUUGCAUCUACCGCGUUCGCGAAGCUUUUACUUUUUCCUCCGUCGUGUUCGUGUCCAAGCCCUUACGUUUGCGUAGAGUUAUUUGACGUUGAGGGCUGAGUCUAUUUUUCCUUAUUGCAUUCGCAUGCAUCCGUUUGCAUUCGCGUAGCCUUGCAGGUUCUCUCUCUGCAUUCGUGUAGAACAAUUUCUGGGCCAUAACAUUUUUACUCUUUGCGUUCGUGUUACUACUCUCACGAUCGCGAUGGCCUUUCUUGGCAGCCUCAUGACUUCCUCUGCGUUCGUGAUGCAUAAAAUAUCUUGGCAGUUAAAAAUAUUUCAAAAACGAGGGUUUAGCCAUUUUUACCAAUACUCAAGCUUGAGCGCUCGGAUUUGAGAGAGCUUUCAAGGGAUUUUCAGAGGCAUUGAUUGGGUAACGAUUCUAGACUUAUUUUUUCUUGUAACCCACUAAUCUAAUCAUGAAUUCCUCUUUUAAUUUCGAAAUUUUGAUGAAAACUUGAUAAAACUUCAUAAACCGAAUUUUUGAGAUUUGAAUGGGUGUUUGACCUCCGAUGUUGUCAAAGAGUUGAACAAUGGUUUUUUUGAGAGAUUUUUAUAUGGAUAGACUCGUGAGAGUACAAGGAUUCUAAAAAUAUUAAUUUCAUCCGAUUUGGAGAUGUCGGACUGGGGGCAUUUUGGUUAUUUUACAUAUGUUCACGUCUUAGCUUUGAAUUUAGUCGUGGGAUCAGUUGUUUGAGAUGUUAUUUAUGAUAUGUAAUUGGAUUGAAUAGAUUUGGGCCAUUUGGAGUCGGAUACUUGUGGCAAACAUGUGGUUUCGAGUUGAUUUUGGAUCCGGUUCGAGGUAAGUAACUUGUCUAACCUUGUGCGGGGACCUUCCCAUUACGAUAUGAUAUUUGGUAAUUUAAUGCCUUGUACUUGAGGUGACGAGUGCGUACUUGAGCUAAUUGUCGAAAAUCUAUUUUUAAUUUUAAGUAUUUAGACCGAGUUUCUUUCUUACCUGCUUAUUCCUACUUGCAGUUUUCUCCUGUGUUAGUUUAGAAAAGCAUACUUAGUUGACAUAAAUUGUCUAUUUGCUUAAGUUGCUUUGAUGUUAAUACGUGAAGCAUGUUAGGCUAGAACUACCUGUUACCUUGUAUUUUUGCACUCCAUUUCCGAUUAUCUUCUUGUUGUGGCUGCAUAUUAAUAAUUGGGACUAUGGAUGUGAGAUUCCGAUAGCUCCCCUAUGUUUUUUUAUUUUGGGAUUACGUGUUAGAUUCUCGGUAGAUCCCCUACACAUUUACAUUGGGAUUACGGAUCGGAUUCCGGUAGAUACCAGUGCAUUGAUAGUUGGACUACGGGACGACAUCCCGGGAGAUCCUUCAGAUAUACACAUAUGAUGGACUAUGGGACGGUAUUCCGGGAGAUCCUUGGACAGUUGACGGAAUGGAUUACAUGACGGUAUCCUGGGAGAUCGUCGUUGUUGGUACUUCUAUUGAGCUGUUUUAAUCAAUGUUACCUUAUUCUCUGUGUGUUAUUUGUUGCAUUAUAUAACCUGUCUUACUUCAUAGUUGUACUCAUUAUUUCUAUUUAUUUUCUACUUUUGUAAGA